UACGAAAGGGGCUAGCGUUGUUCGGAAUUACUGGGCGUAAAGCGCACGUCGGCGGUCUUGUAAGAUGGGGGUGGAAUCCCCGGGCUCAACCCGGGAACUGCCUUCCUGACUGCAAAGCUAGAGCAUGCGAGAGGUUGGCGGAAUUCCGAGUGUAGAGGUGAAAUUCGUAGAUAUUCGGAAGAACACCAGUGGCGAAGGCGGCCAGCUGGCGCAUUUCUGACGCUGAGGUGCGACAGCGUGGGGAGCAAACAGG
RNAcentral lists this ribosomal RNA (253 nucleotides) under uncultured bacterium. Its description in RNAcentral is "partial 16S ribosomal RNA". It matches the Rfam family "Bacterial small subunit ribosomal RNA", at positions 524 to 776 of the family's 1533-position model. The record is from RNAcentral.